AUUGAACGCUGGCGGCAUGCCUUACACAUGCAAGUCGAACGGCAGCGGACCUUCGGGUGCCGGCGAGUGGCGAACGGGUGAGUAAUAUAUCGGAACGUACCUUUCAGUGGGGGAUAACGUAGCGAAAGUUACGCUAAUACCGCAUAUUCUGUGAGCAGAAAAGCAGGGGAUCGCAAGACCUUGCGCUGAUUGAGCGGCCGAUAUCAGAUUAGCUAGUUGGUGAGGUAAAGGCUCACCAAGGCGACGAUCUGUAGCGGGUCUGAGAGGAUGAUCCGCCACACUGGAACUGAGACACGGUCCAGACUCCUACGGGAGGCAGCAGUGGGGAAUUUUGGACAAUGGGCGCAAGCCUGAUCCAGCCAUGCCGCGUGAGUGAAGAAGGCCUCGG
This 388-nucleotide ribosomal RNA is filed under the name uncultured bacterium. Its description in RNAcentral is "bacterial SSU rRNA". It matches the Rfam family "Bacterial small subunit ribosomal RNA", at positions 30 to 420 of the family's 1533-position model. The record is from RNAcentral.